This 363-nucleotide unclassified non-coding RNA is filed under the name Hevea brasiliensis (rubber tree). Lineage: Eukaryota; Viridiplantae; Streptophyta; Magnoliopsida; Malpighiales; Euphorbiaceae. The record is from RNAcentral.
AAUACAAACCAUCUUCGAAAAUGUAAACCUUUCCGCUCAUUUGUCAGAUAUAGCACAACCAGCAGGGAUUCAUAUUGUAAGAUACAAUCAGAGAACUAUUACUCACAUAAAUGUGAGUCCACCUUCUAUAAUAAAUAAAAUGUCUCACAUGUAUGUGAGUGCAAUGAACACUAUUUUUUGUAGCACAAUGCCAUUGCCAGUACCUAACAAUCUCCCCAACUCCAUAGGGUACAAAAAGAUAACACUAGGCCACUGCUACAUUGAUAAGCAAUCAACAGAACUCCAUUGUGACAAAACUUAAAAGGCAAUAUAUUGAUCCCUUUUUCCUAUAAAUUCAACAGGAUUUAAAACAACAACAUAAGG